GAGUUUGAUCCUGGCUCAGAACGAACGCUGGCGGCGUGCCUAACACAUGCAAGUCGAACGUGAUCCAGAGCUUGCUCUGGUGAAAGUGGCGCACGGGUGAGUAACGCGUGGAUAACCUACCCUGGUAUCCGGGAUAACAUUCCGAAAGGGGUGCUAAUACCGGAUAAGCCCACGGGCUCUUUGGAGCUUGCGGGAAAAGGUGGCCUCUAUUUAUAAGCUACUGUAUCAGGAUGGGUCCGCGUACCAUUAGCUAGUUGGCGGUGUAACGGACCACCAAGGCGACGAUGGUUAGCUGGUCUGAGAGGAUGAUCAGCCACACUGGAACUGAGACACGGUCCAGACUCCUACGGGAGGCAGCAGUGGGGAACUUUGCGCAAGGGGGGAAACCCUGACGCAGCAACGCCGCGUGAGUGAUGAAGGCCUUUGGGUCGUAAAGCUCUGUCAGAGGGGAAGAAAUGAUAUAGUGCUAAUACCACUUUAUCUUGACGGUACCCUCAAAGGAAGCACCGGCUAACUCCGUGCCAGCAGCCGCGGUAAUAC
This 540-nucleotide ribosomal RNA is filed under the name uncultured Geobacteraceae bacterium. RNAcentral's name for it is "bacterial SSU rRNA". It matches the Rfam family "Bacterial small subunit ribosomal RNA", at positions 9 to 526 of the family's 1533-position model. The record is from RNAcentral. Lineage: Bacteria; Pseudomonadati; Thermodesulfobacteriota; Desulfuromonadia; Geobacterales; Geobacteraceae.